GGGCAUGGGGCUGGGGCGGCCGCGGGAUGCGGCGCUGAGGCAGCGGCGGAGGAGGAGGAGGAGGAGGCGGCUCGGUGGUGGCAGCGGCUCCGCGCUGGAGGCUCCGCGGCGCUGCCUCCCGCAGCCCCAUGAUGUGCCUGGAAAGCGACGGCUCCUCCGGCAGCAGCCCGGCUUGCGGCGGGCGGCUCCGAGCCGGUGACGAGGAAGAGGAGGAGGAGGAGGAGGAGGAGGAGGAGGAAGAAGAGGAGGGCGAGCGCGGCUGCUGCGGCCGGGGAGCGGAGGGCGAGGUGCAGACGCUGUCGGGCAGCAUGAACCCGCCGCCCGAGCGCCCCGCAGCCCGCCGCAAGGCGCCGAGCCUCGGCCGGGCACGCGUGGCCGCCGCCGGCAUCCUCAGCGUGGGCAACGUGCUCAACUACCUGGACCGGUACACGGUGGCAGGUGUGUUACUAGACAUCCAGCAGCACUUUGGAGUCAAAGACAGUGGGGCUGGCUUGCUACAAACAGUUUUCAUCUGCAGUUUCAUGGUUGCGGCGCCCAUCUUUGGUUACCUUGGGGACCGUUUCAACAGAAAGAUCAUCCUCAGCUGUGGGAUCUUCUUCUGGUCAGCUGUCACUUUUUCCAGCUCCUUCAUCACUGAACAGUAUUUCUGGCUUCUUGUGCUCUCACGAGGUUUGGUUGGCAUCGGUGAAGCAAGUUACUCCACUAUUGCUCCAACCAUCAUCGGAGACCUUUUCACCAAAAACACAAGGACCCUUAUGCUGUCUGUUUUCUACUUUGCAAUUCCUCUUGGCAGUGGCUUGGGAUACAUCACUGGAUCAAGUGUGAAGCAAGUUGCUGGAGACUGGCACUGGGCAUUGCGGGUAUCUCCACUCCUAGGAAUGAUAACAGGGACACUCAUCUUGAUAUUUGUACCCGCUGCUAAAAGAGGAAAUGUUGAACAACUUGGGGGACAGCUGAAGGCUCGGACCUCAUGGCUAAGAGACAUGAAGGCACUGAUAAGAAACCGCAGCUAUGUGUUCUCCUCACUGGCCACCUCAGCUGUCUCUUUUGCCACUGGGGCGCUCGGCAUGUGGAUCCCUCUCUACCUUUACAGAGCACAAGUUGUGCAGAAGACUGCAGAGACUUGCAACGCGCAGCCCUGUGGCACCAAAGAUAGCUUGAUCUUUGGAGCAAUCACAUGCUUCACCGGUUUCCUGGGUGUUAUCACAGGAGCUGGGGCAACCAAAUGGUGCCGCUUAAAAACCCAGCGAGCUGAUCCUCUUGUCUGUGCUGUUGGCAUGCUGGGGUCAGCCAUCUUCAUCUGUCUGAUCUUCGUUGCUGCCAAGAGCAGCAUUGUGGGAGCCUAUAUUUGCAUUUUUAUUGGAGAAACUCUUCUGUUUUCAAACUGGGCUAUCACAGCAGACAUACUAAUGUAUGUGGUCAUCCCAACGCGCCGUGCAACCGCAGUGGCCUUGCAGAGCUUCACUUCGCACCUCCUGGGAGAUGCUGGCAGUCCUUAUCUGAUUGGAUUUAUCUCAGACCUGAUACGACAAAGCACAAAAGAGUCCCCGCUCUGGGAGUUCCUCAGCUUGGGGUAUGCACUCAUGCUCUGCCCGUUUGUCGUUGUCCUAGGAGGGAUGUUUUUCCUGGCCACAGCCCUCUUCUUCCUAAGUGACCGAGCCAAAGCCGAACAACAUAAAGAAACCGAUUCGGACCACCUCACGGUUGGCAACUACAGUAAUUCAGAAGACGCUUCCACAUGACAUACACACUCCUGGGGGUGAAUCACCUCGUGAUGCCACCAGCCUCCGUCAAAGUCUGAGACGUUGCCAGUGAAGGAAACCACAUGUGGACUCCUGCUUCCACCACCACAAUCUCCAGCUCGAAGCCCUUCCAUACUGGAACUGGCGGCUCCUUCAGUUCCACGCCGCCCUGGGAGGGUUCUCCAGCACCAAACCCAUCGCAGCGCUCCACCUGCGGGGCCGGGCAGCAGGAGAUGAGCAGGGCAGCCUGGAACAGACGCUGCUGGAGCGUAAGGACAUUCCCAGGUUCCUCUGAGCAUCGCAAGCAACUCUCCACCGGCCCCACAACCCAAGUGAGUGACUGUAGAUUGUGUACAUGGUUUUAGUUGUAGCCGAUGAAGUCCACAUCGUUUAUAGGACAAGCUCCGUCCUAGCGAAUGCUGCUGUUCUGCCAGCACUCCCGCACCCAGAGACUGCACUAGUUUGGGGACCUGUUCUGUACAUCACCUUUUCUUUAACACUGAAGGCUCAAUUCAGAUUAUUAUUUUUUAUUUAAAUACGUCGUAAGAUGCUUUAUCUCUGCUGAAGACAUAUAUAUAAAUAUAUAUAUUUAGAUAAACAGUUUUUAUUUAAACGUUUGAGAUCUGGAGCUGCCUGUGCAACCCUACCAGCCAUGAAUACGUCCACAACUCUCCUCAUCUCAGUGCCCUGCUGUCAGGCCCUGGGAGGGCACCACAGGAAGAGUCCCAGGGGCUGGAUGACUGCCUGUCACCCGAGGCUGAGCAAUGGGACAGAGGAGAGCGUUUCACUGCACUGGGUAUGCUGGCGGUUGUUACAGAAAGGCCCAGAACUUUUGACAGAAAUACCUAGGGGCUCCAGAUUUUGCUCAAUAUACUAAAUUCAGCCUUGCCGAGGAGAUUCACAGGUUUUUAAAAUACCAAAAUCCAGCUGGCUGAAUUGCUUUACCUAGGGCCUGGUAGUGCAAUACUGCUGUGCCAGUGACAUCACGCUUUGUUUACACGCAUAUCACGGGAUGUGCAUUGUCCGUGCUAAUUCUCCCUUGUCAGUAUUUUCAAAGCAGGUGGCUGAUACUCUACAGUAGCUGUUCCCUUUGGAACGAUGGUUAGGUAAAUGCAUGUCCAUCCCCAAGCACACUCCCAGCCUGCUCUUACUGGGGUGUCAGUUAAUCAUUUAUCUUUAUAAAGAUGUACUUGAGAUCUUUAAUAUACAAGGCCAGUGUCUGAACAAAUGCAGAAGAGUGUGUCUGUAAAACAGUCAGUGCCAUUCCCCAAGAGUCUUAUGUCCUGCACAAGCCAAAUUUAUGCUAUGUCAGCUUGAUGCUGCAAGAGUGUGGGGAAGGAGGGAGAGCACAGACCCUGGAGAAAAAGUCAGGCUUCCAGAGAAAGGGCAUUCUUCCAUGAGCUCCCCACUCCCUUGCAAUGUUCAGAUGUUUGCCAUAGUUUAGACUCUCUCCAGUUUAGUGCACACCUUGAGAAGGUGACUGCACCUCGCUCUUGUGCUCAUGUUUCAUAAGUAGCUGUGGCUGGGCUGCAAGUAAGACUAAAUCAGCAAAGGAAAUGCAACGCUGGGACUGGAACCAAUUUAAGUCUGGAAGUUGGCUGUCCUGAUUCUGGUGUACAUUUGUUCAGGGAAGGUGCUGUUAGUAAAGGUGGGUUUUACCUCUCAUUCACUUGCUGGAUGUACUGUGAGCUACAGUACACCGCUAUUGUAAAGACAGUCAGUAACUCCAGUUACCAGCAAACUGGUCAGCACUCACUGCGUAGCCAGUCUCUGCCCAGGCAGAUGUGUUUUGAGGGUGACUCCUAUAACAACGUGAGCAUUUCCUCCUCCCGAGCCUCCACAGGACUAUUCUGCAGAGGCUAGCCUGUCACCUCAAAUACUUUUACAACGGCUCUAAGAUUUGGUUAAGCAACUAGUGCCACAAAUUUUCCUCGAGUGCUUGGGCAUCCUCUGGAAAACAGCAAGUGGGUGCUAGAAAUAAUAAAGCAAAACAAAUCCAAAACAAUGCUUCAUUUCCCACCUCGUGCCACUAUUUACGUUUGUAGGGGAAAUACCAGUGCUGUAGUCUAGGAGCCAAAUUUUUGGCUUUAAAGGCACAUGAAUUUCUGAUUCCCAUUAAGAAAUUCCUUGUUAAGCUGGCUAAAAAGAAACAAAAAGCAACCAAACAAUUAGUCAUUUCAUCUCAGAGACCAAAGAAGAUUUGCUGUAUUUCCCAAAUUGCUUUUCUGAUAGGCUCUCUCUGCUGUAGCAUUUACUGUCAACAAAAUGAAGCAUUAAUGCAAAAGUUCAGAAGUUAGAAAUUAUCCUUAAAUGUAAUUCUCAGGCGUCAAUAAUGAAAAGGGAACUUAACUGUGUUGUAGUUUCACCAGCUCUCCUUGUUUGUGACAAACCCCAGUCCUUGUUGGAGAAGCUCUGCACUGUUACAGGAGGCCAGCUUUAUCUUCUGUGAAUAUGAAGGAAAUUGCUGUGGCUUUCUUUUUAACAAGGAUAAGGGGAUGGGAGUAAACAAGGGAGUGAGAAGUGAGUCCUACCUGCAGCAGUUCCAUGCCAAGGGACCCCUGAAUCCCUGCUCCCACCUGUUCCAGGCUAAGAGAGGGGAGCCAAAGCAGCAGCAAUGACAGCUCAGGAGAGAUGAACAGGAGAAGGGACAGAAAAUCUGGCUGCUGCCCCUCUACAUAUUCAUGGCUCCGUAUUCAAAUGGCUAGAAGCUGAAAGGUUGGAUUUCUUGUUGAGUGUGUCUUGUUUUAGCUGUGUGUUUGUAUUCCAAACUGGAAGAAUUACUCAGUGAGAGCUUCUAUAACGUUACUCUGUCUGUUAGAGGGAAACCAGCUCACUUGGAUCAAGGGUCUGCAGACCCUUGGGGAAAGUCACUACCUGGGCCUCAGUUCCUGUACGUGCAGAGCUGAGACACUUGCUGCUGAAAUGAAGUGCUGUUGUGUUUCUGUACUAUAGUGGAGGUCAGAAGCUCCCCAUUAUUAAAAUACAGCUGACCAUAUCAUAUCGUACUGGUGCUGAAUUCUGGACUUUAGCAUGCAGGAUUGUGCUGGUUUCCAUUAUAGCUCUGUGUGCAACAAUUUUAGGUAGGUAUAGAUGUAGUCAGGCCCAGAAGCUGUUAGGACCAUUUGGCUGUUGACCUCAUAAAGCAGUGUACAAGUGGAACCAUUUUUGGUAUACACAUAGGAAGUGUUUCUGGAAUGAGAACAGACGUCUAGGCUGGAUACGUACUACUUAUAGCAAAGCUGAAUAACAACCCUUAUGAAAAUUAGUAUCUCUGUUUUUAUAAAGAAAGGCUGGUAAUAGGAAAAGAUAAUUAGUCUUUAAUAAAGAAUACACAUAUUUUAGUAUCCAUCACAACCAACGAUGCAAGAUUUCAGCCCAUCACUUAAAUAAAUAGUUGUUCAGACCAUCAAGGUUACAUUUGCAAUUCAAAACUUCCACAUAAAAUUAAAUGGUCGCAGUAAGGACAGAAACACCUGCAAAGCCUCUGGUUUCCUGCACACAAAUUGACUUCAUGUGAAUGUCUGAAAAUGAGCAUGCACAAAAAGCAGCCCUUGAACGCAUUUGAAAACAUAGGGGAAAAUACUACACCAAAAGGGAGCAAGCACCCCAUCCCUCAUGCCCUCCCAUGCAUGUAUCCAUCUCAGGCGAGGGAGCCAAGUGAGGGGAGAGGGUUCAGGUUUUGGGCUGGUGCUGCUGCACCUUACCCCACUCCUUAGGCUGUGGCCAGCCCCUCCGCAGUGCUCUGCCCUUGCUCCCCACCUCUCUCCCUGCAGGGCUGCAGCAAAGCGCAGUGCAGGCUCCUUCCACCCUCCCUGUGCUCCCUGGGACCCAGAGGGUUCGAUGCAGCCUUGCUGCACACAUCAGGGUCUGUGCCUGCCUGUGCAGGGUGUGGGGUGUCCAAGGGUGUGCAGGGUGUAGGGACAGUCCAGGAUGCCCCUCAGUCAAUCACCAGGGCUUUCUUCUGCUCCACUUCAUGAACAGUUUGUUGUGUUUUUUUUUAAGCAAGCGUUAACUCCCUCCGCAGCUAAUAGUGCAUUUGCACCAGUGUACCACUGUGAAGCAGCCAGGCUGCUCGUACACAGCAAGAGGAACAGAGGUAACGGGAACUGCACAGAGAGGCAAGAAAAUUACCCAAAAAGCAGCAAGCUGCCAGCCCGAGUAACUACACUGCCUCCUGCUGCCACCACUUACCAUCUGGGUGAACCCAAGAGCCUCUCACCUUUUACAGACUAGCUAAGAGAGAACCUCAGGGUGCCAUAACCCUACUAGAUGAAUGGAUGUACUCUGGAAAGCAGAGUUCCUCUCUGCACCUUCUGUCCUAAUUGUUUGUUUUCUUCUCUGUUUGCUUUGUUGUUUGGUAAACCAGCACUUACAAUCACUUUUACUAUGUGAUGUAUGGGAGUAGAAUAGUAUAUUUUCUUGUUAUACAAGGGAGGAGUAUAAAAUAGUUUUCUGAUUUCUUUCAGAAGCAAAUGACUAUUUUAUUUUUUAAGAGCAACUGAUUGUGAAUCUCAGAGUAUAAAAAAGAGAAAUAAGCCAAAUAUAUACCUUUAUGUAAAUUAAGAAAUAAAAGUAUUUAAAACAUA
RNA transcript from Anas platyrhynchos (mallard), 6328 nucleotides. It is a transcript of the gene named sphingosine-1-phosphate transporter SPNS2, with no coding region annotated. The record is from RefSeq and is a predicted model, not a curated record. NCBI's taxonomy places the organism in Eukaryota, Metazoa, Chordata, Aves, Anseriformes, Anatidae.